GUUUUCACUUUGGCAGCACGUAUACUAAAACUGGAACAAUAUAGAGAAGAUUAGCACAGCCCCUGCACAAGGAUGACGUGCAAACUCGUGAAGUGUUCCAUAUUUUC
Molecule: small nuclear RNA, 107 nt
Organism: Loxodonta africana (African savanna elephant)
Lineage: Eukaryota; Metazoa; Chordata; Mammalia; Proboscidea; Elephantidae
Source: Ensembl